CCCUUAGAUGUUCUGGGCCGCACGCGCGCUACACUGAUGCAUUCAACGAGCCUAUCCUUGACCGACAGGUCCGGGUAAUCUUUGAAUCUGCAUCGUGACGGGGAUAGAUUAUUGCAAUUAUUAAUCUUCAACGAGGAAUGCCUAGUAGGCGCAAGUCAUCAGCUUGCGUCGAUUACGUCCCUGCCCUUUGUACACACCGCCCGUCGCUCCUACCGAUUGGGUGUGCUGGUGAAAUGUUCGGAUCGGCCGUUUGUCGCGGUUUCCGCGUCAUGUGGCUCAGAAGUUCAUUAAACCCUCCCACCUAGAGGAAGGAGAAGUCGUAACA
Molecule: ribosomal RNA, 325 nt
Filed under: uncultured eukaryote
Lineage: Eukaryota
Description: partial 18S ribosomal RNA
Rfam family: Eukaryotic small subunit ribosomal RNA
Source: RNAcentral